This 792-nucleotide ribosomal RNA is filed under the name uncultured bacterium. RNAcentral describes it as "bacterial SSU rRNA". It matches the Rfam family "Bacterial small subunit ribosomal RNA", at positions 1 to 790 of the family's 1533-position model. The record is from RNAcentral.
UAGAGUUUGAUCAUGGCUCAGGAUGAACGCUAGCGGCAGGCUUAACACAUGCAAGUCGAGGGGCAUCGGGAGGAAAGCUUGCUUUCCUUGCCGGCGACCGGCGCACGGGUGAGUAACACGUAUGCAACCUGCCCUCUUCAGGGGGACAACCUUCCGAAAGGGAGGCUAAUCCCGCGUAUAUCGGUUUCGGGCAUCCGAGAUCGAGGAAAGAUUCAUCGGAAGAGGAUGGGCAUGCGGCGCAUUAGCUUGACGGCGGGGUAACGGCCCACCGUGGCGACGAUGCGUAGGGGUUCUGAGAGGAAGGUCCCCCACACUGGUACUGAGACACGGACCAGACUCCUACGGGAGGCAGCAGUGAGGAAUAUUGGUCAAUGGGAGAGAUCCUGAACCAGCCAAGCCGCGUGAGGGAAGACGGCCCUAUGGGUUGUAAACCUCUUUUGUCGGAGAACAAAACCCGGGACGUGUCCCGGACUGCGUGUAUCCGAAGAAAAAGCAUCGGCUAACUCCGUGCCAGCAGCCGCGGUAAUACGGAGGAUGCGAGCGUUAUCCGGAUUUAUUGGGUUUAAAGGGUGCGUAGGCGGUCCGUUAAGUCAGCGGUAAAAUUGCGGGGCUCAACCCCGUCGAGCCGUUGAAACUGGCAGACUUGAGUUGGCGAGAAGUACGCGGAAUGCGCGGUGUAGCGGUGAAAUGCAUAGAUAUCGCGCAGAACUCCGAUUGCGAAGGCAGCGUACCGGCGCCAGACUGACGCUGAGGCACGAAAGCGUGGGGAUCGAACAGGAUUAGAUACCCUGG